Molecule: long non-coding RNA, 15114 nt
Filed under: Erythranthe guttata (spotted monkey flower)
Lineage: Eukaryota; Viridiplantae; Streptophyta; Magnoliopsida; Lamiales; Phrymaceae
Description: long non-coding RNA (EGUT_LNC001855)
Source: RNAcentral
UCCAUCAUUCUCAUAAAAAAAAAUUGAACCCAUAAGUAAAAAAAAAAAAUAUAUCCAUUUGUAUAUACUAUCAACUAUUACAACAAAUUCUUCACCGUCCUCCACUGUUGAUACACAUAAACCUCACUUACAUAUAGAUGCGUGUACCUAAGAUCCUUCAUUGUAAUAUCACUGAAGCUCUAGCAGUAAUGAGUAACAACUUCUUUGUCAUCGUCAACACACAUUGACUUUAUAUAUUUUUUCAUGAAAACAUCUGCAAAAUAAAAGAAGUAUUCAUCAGUCAAGUCAUUAAUAGGUUCAUCGUACAAAAACUUAUACAUGGAUUAGAAGUAAAUUAACCACGUAGAUAAUGAAAUCUAAAUAAAUCAAAAGUUUAUAUCAUCCUGGCUAGCAUUCACUCACAUCAUGAUUCUGAAAAAUUGUUUGUAUGUCCGUCAAAAUGUUUGCAUGUAUUUUAAAUUAACUGAAAAAUAUGAUGGAAAAAGUUCAUUAGGUGGUUAAAUAUAAUCACCUGAGCAAUAAAAUAAGAAUGACAAGGGGAAAUAAAAUUCCUAAAGAAGCUAAAGCAUCAUUUAGGCAAAAUAAAAGUAAUAUAUAAACUAGUGUUUGAGAGAAACCUACUGAUACAACAAGAGAUAAAGGGACAACCUCGAGCUAAAAAGACCUGCAAUUAAUAAUAUAAUCAGUGUAAUUAAAAAAUUAAGCCACAUACCAUUGUAUGAAAAAGUAUUAUUGGCCAAUAAUCUUUCACACAAAUGCAUACACUUGAGCAGGUUAUAUUCUAGAAAAUAAUACAUAAAAUAAUGUGAGUAAUAAUUGUUAGAAAUAGAUUUAUAACGAAUUUAUCCGUUGCAAUUAAUAUAUAUAAAAAAUAUUUUUUGUUCGUGUAAUGCCAACGCACAACAACUGUUACAUCUUAAUUUCCAACGGAUAUAUCCGUUAGAAAUUCCUAACGAAAAAUAUCCGUUAGAAAUCAUAAAUUUGUAGUGUUAGAAAAUGCUCACUAUGGUGUAGUGGUAGGAAUACAGUGAUUGAAUCUAGAGUAUUAGAAUCGUAAUACACGCGGAAGCGGGUUAUGACUAAUUUAGCAUCUCAGGUUAGUAAUCCGGGUUAAUUUCUUGUAUAGUUGAAGGAAUUGAUAGAGUAAUAAUCACAUAGGGGGAAGAACAAAAUCCUAGGCUUGUUUACUUUGAUUAAUCUUCGUGUUUAAAUUGCUUUCUUACUUUGUCUUUUUAAUUUGCUUUAAUUUAGUUUAUAUUAAUUUAGGUAAUUCUCUCUAAAGUCGAUUGUGUAGGGUGAGCUUGAUAAUAAUUGCUAAGGUUUAGCGUCUAGGAUUAAAUAAUUAAAUAUUCUCUGUGGGAUCGAUAUCCGGACUUAAUUGUCCACUUUAUUACUUGUACGAUACGUGCACUUGCGUGUAGGUAUUACCACCAACAAGUUUUUGACGCCGUUGUCGGGGAAUAUUUUAAUUAUUUAUUUUAUUCUACCUCUAAAUUUUAAGAAUUUUCAUGAUUCACCCGUUUAAUUUUUAUUUUAUUUUAUUUUUGUUUUAGGUACUGUUUAUGCGCAGGAGGCUCGAUCUUGCUAGAGAACCGUUUGAUCCCGAAAUCGAACGUACUUUUCGAGCCGCUAGAAGACUUCAAGGCGCAAACAAUAUAAUGGAGGACGAAGAACGCAAAAACACAGAAGGUAAUUUACUCAAUGCCAACGGAAACCAAGUCGAAGACCCACCCCCUCAACUUCCAUUACAGCCCGCAGUUAGGCCACGAGCACUUCAAGAUUACAUAAUCCUGACUCUUGAUGGAUUCCGCCCGAGCAUCUAAUAUCCACCUAUAGAGGCGCACAAUUUUGAGAUUAAGCAAGGCCUCUUGACGAUGCUCCAAAAUAACGGGCUAUUUAGUGGAUUGGCGGGUGAAGAUCCCCAUCUUCACAUUGUCAAUUUUCUAGAUACAUGUAAUUCCCAUCGUCAAAACGGCGUUUCCCAAGAGGCUCUUCAAUUAAUUCUCUUCAAGCACUCCUUACAAGAAAGAGCUCGCCAGUGGUUGAUGUCCCAAGCCCCCCACUCUAUCUCGUCAGUGGCCUCAACUUCUCAACCUUUUCAUGAAAGUUUACAGCUCACCCGAGAAGGACGAGAGAAUCCGACGAGAAAUUCAUAAUUUCAUCCAAGAGCAAGGCGAGCAGUUAUACGAGGCAUGGGAGAGAUUUAAAACCCUUUUGCGGGAGUGUCCAACACAUGGAGUAGAGCAAUGGCGGCAAAUCCACAUCUUCUACCUAGGGAUUAACGAGAAUGCACGAACCGUCUUAGAUGCAUCAACCGGGGGUAACUUUAUGAGUCAAUCGAUACCGGAUGCAUUUAUUAUGUUGGAUCAAAUUGCACAAAAUCGGUUUGCCAAGUCAAGCGAAAGGACAGUAAGUGAAGCCAAGAAAGUUCCCGGAGUGUUGGAGUUAGAUGCAAUUACGUCCCUUCAAGCUCAAGUGACCCAAAUAGCUCAACAAAAUCAACUCCUUCUACAGCACAUCAAAGCAACUCCACCACAACAAGUCCAACCAAUUGAUUCUCCAUGUUGUGAAAUUUGCGGUGGAAAUCAUUACACGCUCCAAUGCCAACAAGAUGUGGAAUCGCUCAACUACAUUAACAAUGCGCAUCGCCAAUUUCAAAAUCAAGGGUGGAGAUCACAAGGGCAAUAUGGAGGAAAUCAACAAGGCCAAGGAUAUCAAAGACCUCAAGGUCAAUUUCAAAAUCAACCCUCCUCAACAAAACUAUCAAAGCAACAAUCCACUGGCCCAAAAAUCAAACACGGAUGAGAUAUUGGCCCAAUUUAUGACCGCUACCCAAGCCUCGCUGCGGAAUUUGGAGAGUCAAUUCGCUCAAUUCGUUUUGAAUCAAGAGAACCGUCCGGCAGGAGCAUCGCCAUCGAAUACGGAAGAUCCUCGAAAGCAAAUUUUCGAGAUGUGCCAAGCUAUCGAUGUCAAGAUCGAUAAAAAAGAAGAAAUUCAAAUUAAAGCCGCAAGUCACUGUAGCCGAAUGGGUGGAACGAAUCCCAUAUCACCAAAGAUUGCAACCGAAAAAGGUCGAAGUCGAGACGUGCCAAGCAGUCACCUUGAAGAAUGGUAAGCAAUUGGAGGAAGCCCCACGAAAAGAGAAGAGAAAUACGGUAAUCGAAAAGCCGAAGGUGAUUGAGGAAAAUGAAACAAUUCAAAAAGAACCACCAUCACUAGUGAUUGCACGAUCUCCACCAAUUCCAUAUCCUCAAAAGUUUAUAAAGAAGAAACUCGAUGCCGAAUACCAAGGAUUUUUGGACAAGUUGAAGGAAAUUCGCAUAAAUAUUCAUUUCAUCGAAGCACUUCAAAAGAUGCCAAAGUGGGUGAAGUUCCUUAAAGACCUCGUGACGAAAUGUAAGAAAUUGCAAGGGAACGAGAUGAUCCAACUCACGGAGCAAAUUCGUGCAAUUCUUACACGGCCCCUUCCACAAAAACUCGGCGAUCCAGUUAAGUUUACUAUUCCUUGUAUUAUAGGAGGUAAAAAAUUUAGAUCGCUUAUUGAUUUAGGUGCUAGCAUUAAUCUUAUGCCUUAUUCCACUUUUAAAAAUCUUGACUUUAGAGAAAUUGAACCGACGGCUACAACUCUUCAAUUAGCCGAUAGAUCUUUAGUUUACCCAAAAGGUAUUUUAGAGAAUGUGCUAGUAAAAGUUAAUAAAUUUAUCUUCCAUGUAGAUUUCGUUAUACUUGAUAUAGAUGAGGAUUGGGAGAUACCUCUUAUCGUAGGGAGGCCGUUUUUAGCCACGUCAAAAACUCUUAUUGAUUGUGCUAGUGGUGAUCUUACAAUGACUGUUCAUGAUCAAACAAUCAAAUUCAAUGUUUUUAGUGCUAAUAAAAAUCGAUGUGAUAAUAUGAUUGUUUUUUUAUUGAGCUUAUGGAUUUUACAAAUCAUGAAAAAAAAAAUGAUGUUUUGAACUUGGACAAUGGGAAAGCAUCUUUGAGUGCGGGAGAUGAUGGCGGAAACGAGAAUCGGAAGGAGCAGGUUUACUUCAUGGACUCAAUUUCAACUCCUCCGAGAGAAAGUCAUACGAGUCGGGAUCUUAACGACGGAAAGUGCAAGGAAGAUGUUGCCACCCAAAGACUCGAGCAAGCCACGAGAGAAGGAUGAGUCAAGAUAUUGGGGUCGUAAGGAUAAAGUCAAAGGGAAAUUGCUCAAAGGACAAUUGGUGUUAUUGUGCAAAUCCCGGCUUUGGUUAUUCCCAAGGAAGCGCAAAUCAAAGUGGUCGGAGUCGUUUAUUGUCCAAUAAAUUCGUCCUCAUGAGGUAGUCAAGAUAAAGGAGCGAGAUUCAAAUCGUACGUUCAACGUGAAGCGAAGCCGGCUCAAAUCGUAUUGGGAAGCGAGUGAAGAUUGCCAAGUGACUUCGGUCACUUUUGCUUGAAAAUAAAGAAGCAACGUCCGACUGAAGACUUAAAACUUAGCACUUCUCGGGAGGCAACCCGAGCUUUAUUGUUUUUCGUAGUUUUAUUUAUUUUUUCGUUUUGUUUUUAUUUUAAAAGGCAUGCAUUCUAAUUAAUCUAUUUGAAUUUCAAUUUUCAGGGUCGAAAACGUGGUCAGAGGGUCCAGACGGCCGUCCGAAAAUCCAAGCAAAAUUCCAGACGGACGUCCGAAAUCUAGAGACUUGCCUGCCAGACGGCCACAUAUACUCAUUUUUAUAAGGUCUUUCUUCUUCUUCAUCGAAAAAAAAUAUACAAAAGUAAGGCCUGGUUGUUGAAUUAUUUUUAAAGCUCGAUCCAUUGUCUUAAGAGCAAAAGUGGAGACUUUUGAACUUUUAAGAAUCGAGUUUAUUAAAGUCCUUAGAAGUGAAUUCAUUGUUUCAAACGCCUAUCUUUCAAAUUUUUGCGUAAUCACCUCAAUUCAAGAAGAAUAGCCACAUAUACUCAUUUCCUACCUCGAACCAAAGAGCCUGACAAUUGAAAGCCACAAAGCCCCAAUGAUCCCAAUAGCUCAAUUGUAGCGCCCCGCCUCGAGUAGCAGGCACCUCGUGGCGGAACACCACUCAACAUGCAGUACAUUCAAUGACCCCAAAUAUGCUCCUCCAAAUUGCAGUAAUCAAAACAUUAAACCCCAAUAUCUAUACCAUCUUGUUUACAAAAGGGGAUUCUAUUACAAGUCGACUUCGACACUACUUACUCAAUUACAAAAUUCUCGAUCAAAGGAUUCCUAUACGGAACAUAAAUAGAGAUACCUCUCGACGAGACUAAUCGGAGGCAUACACGAGCUUUAACUCUUAGUACGAAAAUUUAGGUAUAAAUCUUUCUUUUACCUGCGCAUUAAUAUCAGAAAGGAGAAACGAAUAAGUCCGAAUGACUUAGUGAAAAACAUAUGAUCCAUGAGUAUGAUGAGAAUCAAGUGAACAGCACAUAUAACGAGAGACUUUACAAGAAUUUCAUUAACAGAAGUGUAACAUGUACAAGAGUGUAACAUGUACGGCUUGAGAUCAAUAUUUGGUGGGGUCUCCAACCUUGUAGCUCCCAACAAAUAAAAUCAUAUCACAUCCUUGUCCCUCCACUCCGUCCCGAGUGGCCACUCGGUCGGAAACAAGCAAGAGGCACGACCGGAACGUGCCGAUCCGGCUCAGGAACGUUUAACUCCAAACGAACGUGAGUCCGAACCAUCAGGAGGUACCAUUUGGGAGACCAGUCAUCGUCAGCCCAAUACUGCCCGAUCGUCUUGCCGAAAUGGUCCUAGGGCCCAGCUCCCCCAAGAGCGUCCUCAAGGGUGGGGACAGUAGGUUCAAGAAUCAAUAUUAUUCCUUUUAGGAAUAUCAAGUCAUUCAUUUCAAGAAUCAAGUCAAUCAUUCACAAGAUAAGUCAUGAUCACGAUAAUCGAACAUCAAGUAUCAGGAUAAUGAACAUGUUCGAGAAUUCAGUUCAAGCCAAGGAGAGAAUAUUCAUGAAUAUGAGAGUCAAGAAGAACCAUAAGUUCAAUAUCGGAUUCCAAGAACGAGUAUAUCAAUAUCUCAAUGAAUUCAAUAAACAUGAGAUUCAAGUUCGAGCCAACGAAAUAUUUAUUCUCGAAAAGCAUUCAAGACAAGAUUUUGAGAAUAAAUAUAGUUCAAUAUCGAUUCAAGGAAAAUGUUCAGGCCAAGGAAUCAAGUAUAGGAAUUAGCCGUGAACAUAGCAACCAAGAGAAUUGACAAGUUCAAGAUUUCAAGAACAAGAUCAAGGCUCCAAGUUCGAGCCAAGAAAACAAUAUGCUCGCAAAACAUUAAGGAUCAUAUUUCAAGAACAAAUAUAAUGAAGGUAUCGAAGGCUUCAAUAUGUACAAAAUAUUCGGUUCAAAGAAAGGAGAUAUUAUGCGCAGGAAAGAAAUUGGAUAAGGAGUCAUAGUUUCUCACCUGGAGUCCAACGCUAGUGCUAUAGAAGUGCUAUAGAAGCAUCUUUAAGCUUAAACCUUGAGUCAGAGCUUUACUACGCUCGACACCUAUAAACAUAUUCAUCACUUAACAAGAUUCCAAAUGCUAAUAUAAUCGUAUUAUUCUACUAUAUACAUAGUCAAUUUCUUGAAACAUUUGUUACGAAUGUCUUGCUGCCACAGCUUAUUCGAACAAUCGUUACGAUCACCUUACUUAUCCGAAUAACCUAAACGAUAUAUCGAAUUAAAGCUAACAUCAGUGUCUACAGGUUUACUGAAGACUCUGAGCCCAAAUUAUCGACCUAACACAAUAAUAACAGCCUCGGAAGAUGAGUACAUGAAACUGCCAGGUUUUUUUUUUGGAAAAUUCGUUGUUGGCACAGUUUGUUUGAAAAAUCAUAACAAUUAGCAUGCUAAUCCAAAUUGAUCACAUGAUACGUCAAAUGAAAGCUAACAGAAAAUUCUGCGAGUUCACAGAAGGCUUUAGUCCCAAAUUCGGAACCGAAAAUAGCAGAAACAACCUCAAACCAGCAUUACAGAACUGCCGGGAUUUUGGAAAGAUUAUUUCUGGUACAGCUUAUUUGAAAAAUCAUAACAAUUUGUAAAGUUAUCCAAAUUGCCCAAAUAAUACAUCAAAUGAAACCUUACAACUUAAUCUACAAGUUUCAUGAAGGCACAGAGCCCAAAUUAUGAUCCCAACAUAUCGAGAACAGUCCCGCAAGAAGAUACUAAAAACUGCCCUGUUUCCGGCAGAUUACUGUCAUCGGAUUCCGACCUCUAAAACACGUAUAUUAAAUACUCUAAUUCGAUACGAUUGAACACUUACUUACAGUUUACGAUGUCCUCUACGAGUUUCCUGAAGGAACCGAUUCCAAAUUCGCAUUCGAAACCCUUCGAUUUCGGCUCCGAAAACAGGUGCGGCAGCAGAUUUUGCUUCCCCAAAAUCGCAGCGAGCAAGCUGACUUCUCAGCAAACUCCGGGGACCGCCGCCCGUGCAAACCAUCAAGAACCACGACCAAUAGAGAGCCAAACUCAUUAGCUUUCUAACGAUGGAUCCUGAUCAACGAGGUUCAAUCUCAAACGCCCCUAAACAAUUAUUUCUUUGAAGGCCUAACCGCUGAAUUUCGAAUUGUAAGUGAACUUGUCUUCUUCGACCUAUUCCGACCACCACCACCGAUGUGAAGCUGAUCUUAUGGUUUAUACCAGUGCCACCGGAUUCUCGAAACUCUGUUCAUAAAACGUUGCAGCACUUUUGAAGAAUCAAUUUGGGCUUUCUUCUUUCACCGCUCAAUUCUUCAACCCAAACUUGAUUACAUCAAACCCUCACUUAGAAACUCAAUAUUUCCGAUCAAUUUAUUUGAUUCCAGCCAAGACUCCGAUAGAGAGAAUGGCGAAGAUAGAGAAUAAGUGAGCAAGAGAGAAAGAAUGAAGAGAAGAAGAUAGAGAGAAAGAGAGAGACGGUGAGAGAAGAGCUGGGGUGAAGAGAAGAAACGUGGCUGCCAAAGGAGGAUUGUGAAUUGACGAUAUACACGUCAAUUCCUAUCUCAACUAUAAGUUAUGAAAAUUGGCUAUAAGGCCAAAUAGUUUUCUUAAUUACCAAAUAGAUGCCAUAACUUUAGAUAAUUACAAUUUCUGCACUUCCCAUCAAAUUCGAAAUAUAUUAUAAUUCCAUAUCGACACAUAUCAACUAAAUAAAUUCAAUUAUCCCCAAACUUGAACAACUUACACAUUUACGGGGUGUUACACUCUUCCCUCCUUAAAAGAAUCUGGUCCCCAGAUUCUCAACUAUUAUUCGAACAUGGAAAUACAAUUUCCUAAAAUUAUCUUCUUGCUCAUCCAUCGCUUCGUUAGCUUCGUGGUUUCUCCAUAAUACCUUCAAGUCUUGUGAUUGAGGAAUUCGUUAUCAAGAGGAAUACGGUUAUGCGGGUAGUCUAUAGGAGGUUGGUUCCGAAAUAGGGAUCAAUCCCUAUUUAUAUGAUAAGUUAUUCUCAAGCUACGGUUGCUUCAAGGAAGAAUACCUGAGUUUGAUCGAAAUAGUGUUAACUUAGUCCUUCAAACCUCUACGAAUUAUUUCCAUGACAAUCUGUAUCUCCCCAAACUUAGAAUUGACUUGGAUAACGAGUCAAACUAUUAUCGUAACGAAUUCAGAAACACUACAUCAAAUACAAUAUGGGGUAGUAAUAGGAAGUACUGCUUGUGGAACCUUAAUGUCCGCGGCUCCAUUAGUAAUACCGUACAGUUCAUCGGUCUCAAACUCGAUGUAGCCUUACUGUUGAGCAAGAUGCUAAAUAUUUAUAAUGUUCUAGAAGUUGAAGGCCAAGAUACGGUUCGUCAACUAAUUAAUGGGACUUGUGAGGUACAUCAACUACGAGGAAACAAUCGAGUUAGGGUUGUAGCCAGGAGUCCUACAAAUUGUCUGAUGAGAGGAAUGAAAGGGAUUAAUAAGGGUCUGAUAUCGUUCGAAUCUUUAAAUCUCUCCCUACUUAUCCGUGUCACAUUCUUCAAGAGAAUGUGUUUCUUCUCCUCCGUUUCGCUCGAGCCUUUGUGGUAACUAGAACUACAUAUCUACUUCCACAUCUCCAUAACUCUUUUGACGAUCUCAUGUAGACUUUAAUCUUUAUUUGAUGAGUCGAACUUUACCGUAGCAUCUUGUAUCAAUCUCCAAGCCCUUACGUUUGCCGUCGUUAGUUAUUCGUCGCUCAUCUAAUCUUGAAUUGCAAGCUCGGUUGAUAGUUUAUUCCACGAACUACUGCGAAGCUGUCUGUAUUCCAGCUCGAUAGAUUCCCAAUUAUCACGAUGAUCUGCGUUAUACGUUCACAAGGUUCCUUCAAUGUUUUCAGUCAUCCACUCACACGAGAGUUAGUUUUGAGAACGUUUCCCGUACCGAGCUGAAAUUUUGUCCUAUGUUGCAGAUAGUUGCUUUCAUAAGAACGAGAUGACUUAUAAUCUAUAUCGAGACAAUGUGAGUUAGCUACAAGAGAUAGAUUUCGGAUCUAAAUUAUCUUCAGCAAACAAAGAGGCAACUACUUUCCCGGUCCACAAAAAUUCUCUUCUCAUUGGUCUACAUAAAGUGGAAUUGAAUGCACAAUAAUUAUAAUCAAAGAGGACGGCGAAGCCUGAUUUACUUAUGGUAUCAACAUUGGACACUAGAAGAACUUGAUUAUAGAUGGCGUUCGCAAGGAAAAGGUUUUCAAAUAGUAGAUCGACCAGACAACGGUUGAUGGAAGAGAGCUUUACUUCUAAAAUCAAGAGUAAUCGAAGAUGGCAACGGUUGAUAAAAUCUUCCGGUGGUUUCGCAACCGCAUGCCUAAUAGAUACUUAUCGUAGAGAAGUCAUGACUCCGAAUUCCGACAAUUGAGUAGCCCUAAUUUCAUUCAAUUCACUACUAUUUCAACAUAGGUCAACUAGUCUAAUGUCAUUCUUCGACACCAAGCACGCUCUAAUCACGUCCGAAACAUUAUACACACUAUGUCUAUUAAUGUCCAUGGUGAAUUACUUCAACCAAACGACAUGACGGGCAAAACUUAUUUAUAGCAAGUUGAACAUGCAAGCCGAAUUCUUGCAGUUGUCGUUCCCAUCUUACAAAGAAAAGUGCAAUCAUCUACGGUGUUAUUGACAAAGGUGUUCUACUUUAAACUUCUCCACAUAGCACUUAGCUCUUCAUAUUAAUCGAAUAGAAUUGCAAAAACUGAUAAUCCAAUGUUAAGAUAUAGCUGACUUAUCGGACAUUAGGGACUCUAGAGGUGGCUCAUGCAAGAUUAAGAGGUGGCUCCCGUUGGGUAGCACUUUGUCCCGCAGGUUCAAGAGGUGACUCCCACAUCGUAGCACUUUGCCCUGCAUAGCACUUAGCUCCUUGUACCUUGACGAUUAGAUACAAGAAUUCAAACCGCUCAAGAUACCUUAAGAAUCAACAAACUCUAUAAAAUUUCUAAGUCGUGAUAACUACAUGACCUUUUUCCGUUGAGUAAGAUCUAUAAGAUGAUAUAACAAUAGAUGCAUACAACCGUAGUCAUAUGACACGACAUUACCCAUACAAGGUCCAUACUUUUACCCUGAAUUAUCAAUAAUAAUGACCUAUAAGUGAGAGGGAACAACAAGAAGCAAUAUGAAGAAGUCGAAUCACAAGGUUUCAAAGGGAUAAGAAAACUCACAGAAUAGGCUAUCCCUAAUCAAGAAGUAUUAAAUGAGAUGAGGAAUCUCAAAAAGAACGGAACAAGGAAAUCGAGGCAUUCAAACGAGAUCAAAUACCUCACUCGUGAUCAAUAGUGGGAAGGAAGUAAGAUAGUCAAGCAAUAUUGUAUUCAAAGAAUCAGAAACCUGAAAAAGUAGGUAACCGAGAUGCCAAGUAUUGAAAUGAGAUAAGGAGUUUUGAAAUGAGAUAUGGGAUUUCCAUUGUGAUCAAUAAUAACAAUGGAACAAUGCAUGUACAAGAAUCGAAUUUUGAGGCCAAAAGAACAAGAAUCUCAAAAAUAGGUAGAAAGAUUGAUCCGACAUGAGAAUAAUAACAAUGGUAUAGCCAAAUCAAACGAGAAUAGGGACCUCAAAGGCACUUGAACAAAAUCACCAGAUAUUCAAGGAAAUUGGAACACUGAAAAUGGAGUAGUAUAGAUUAAGUAAAGCAAUAUUCAAGAAACAAAAAGUCUCGACAAAUAGAUUCGCCGAAACUAUAGAGUGUUCAAAGAGAUAUAAAACCUCACAAUUAUCCAAAGCAGAUGGUAGUGGAAAAAAAAUAAGGAACCUCACAAGAACAUGACCAAAAUCAUAUGGUAUUCAAAAUAAUUGAACACUAAAGAUGGAGUGAACUGGAUAAGAAGUCUCGGCAAAUAGAUAAGCCGAAACCAUAGAAUAUUUACAAAGGAUACAAGGUGGAGAUGGUAGCACAAUAAGGUAAGGGCUUCAAAACAAAAGAUAAUCCAAGCCAGGCGGAAUUUGAAGGGGUACGAAACCUCAUAAAAUUGGUAACUAAGACUAUGAGGUAUUAAAAUGAGAUAAGAGAAUCGAUUACGAUCAACAAAUGAAAUUAUACAAUAUAGGCCAACGAAUCAAAAUUGAAUUCAUUGGAAUGAUAAGGAGUGAACAAAAGAACUCCCGAAUAUUUGGUUCACCGUAAUUCAAUACUCAAAACGAGAUAAUAUGGUUUGGAUAAGGAAGUCAAGUUAUGAAGUAAAAUGGAAUGGGACGUCUACAAGAAAAGGUGUUACCAAAUUCAAGUGAGACUAGGAACCUCACUCGUGAUCAACAUUGGAGAAUUGGGAGAAUUGGAAGCCAAUUGAAGUAACCAAAAGAACCAAGAAUCUCAAACUGCGUCUCAGGUCGUGUAUGAUAGAUAUUUCUACGGGGUAUUCCUCACUAUCUAUAUCGGUAAUAGAUGCUAAAGUAUUAUCUCAAUGCCUCUAAUACUCGAUUAUCACCAAUCUUCUCAAUUCCCCAAGAUUCAAUUCAUAGCUCUACAAUUCUCAAAGAUCCCUUUCCAUCACCGCCCGGGCAUCCAACCCAAAGCCAACCCAAAGCUUUACCAACCCAAAGCUCUACCGACCGAAAGCUCUACCAACCCAAAGCUCUGAUACCACCUGUAGCGCCCCGCCUCGAGUAGCAGGCACCUCGUGGCGGAACACCACUCAACAUGCAGUACAUUCAAUGACCCCAAAUAUGCUCCUCCAAAUUGCAUUAAUCAAAACAUUAAACCCCAAUAUCUAUACCAUCUUGUUUACAAAAGGGGAUUCUAUUACAAGUCGACUUCGACACUACUUACUCAAUUACAAAAUUCUCGAUCAAAGGAUUCCUAUACGGAACAUAAAUAGAGAUACCUCUCGACGAGACUAAUCGGAGGCAUACACGAGCUUUAACUCUUAGUACGAAAAUUUAGGUAUAAAUCUUUCUUUUACCUGCGCAUUAAUAUCAGAAAGGAGAAACGAAUAAGUCCGAAUGACUUAGUGAAAAACAUAUGAUCCAUGAGUAUGAUGAGAAUCAAGUGAACAGCACAUAUAACGAGAGACUUUACAAGAAUUUCAUUAACAGAAGUGUAACAUGUACAAGAGUGUAACAUGUACGGCUUGAGAUCAAUAUUUGGUGGGGUCUCCAACCUUGUAGCUCCCAACAAAUAAAAUCAUAUCACAUCCUUGUCCCUCCACUCCGUCCCGAGUGGCCACUCGGUCGGAAACAAGCAAGAGGCACGACCGGAACGUGCCGAUCCGGCUCAGGAACGUUUAACUCCAAACGAACGUGAGUCCGAACCAUCAGGAGGUACCAUUUGGGAGACCAGUCAUCGUCAGCCCAAUACUGCCCGAUCGUCUUGCCGAAAUGGUCCUAGGGCCCAGCUCCCCCAAGAGCGUCCUCAAGGGUGGGGACAGUAGGUUCAAGAAUCAAUAUUAUUCCUUUUAGGAAUAUCAAGUCAUUCAUUUCAAGAAUCAAGUCAAUCAUUCACAAGAUAAGUCAUGAUCACGAUAAUCGAACAUCAAGUAUCAGGAUAAUGAACAUGUUCGAGAAUUCAGUUCAAGCCAAGGAGAGAAUAUUCAUGAAUAUGAGAGUCAAGAAGAACCAUAAGUUCAAUAUCGGAUUCCAAGAACGAGUAUAUCAAUAUCUCAAUGAAUUCAAUAAACAUGAGAUUCAAGUUCGAGCCAACGAAAUAUUUAUUCUCGAAAAGCAUUCAAGACAAGAUUUUGAGAAUAAAUAUAGUUCAAUAUCGAUUCAAGGAAAAUGUUCAGGCCAAGGAAUCAAGUAUAGGAAUUAGCCGUGAACAUAGCAACCAAGAGAAUUGACAAGUUCAAGAUUUCAAGAACAAGAUCAAGGCUCCAAGUUCGAGCCAAGAAAACAAUAUGCUCGCAAAACAUUAAGGAUCAUAUUUCAAGAACAAAUAUAAUGAAGGUAUCGAAGGCUUCAAUAUGUACAAAAUAUUCGGUUCAAAGAAAGGAGAUAUUAUGCGCAGGAAAGAAAUUGGAUAAGGAGUCAUAGUUUCUCACCUGGAGUCCAACGCUAGUGCUAUAGAAGUGCUAUAGAAGCAUCUUUAAGCUUAAACCUUGAGUCAGAGCUUUACUACGCUCGACACCUAUAAACAUAUUCAUCACUUAACAAGAUUCCAAAUGCUAAUAUAAUCGUAUUAUUCUACUAUAUACAUAGUCAAUUUCUUGAAACAUUUGUUACGAAUGUCUUGCUGCCACAGCUUAUUCGAACAAUCGUUACGAUCACCUUACUUAUCCGAAUAACCUAAACGAUAUAUCGAAUUAAAGCUAACAUCAGUGUCUACAGGUUUACUGAAGACUCUGAGCCCAAAUUAUCGACCUAACACAAUAAUAACAGCCUCGGAAGAUGAGUACAUGAAACUGCCAGGUUUUUUUUUUGGAAAAUUCGUUGUUGGCACAGUUUGUUUGAAAAAUCAUAACAAUUAGCAUGCUAAUCCAAAUUGAUCACAUGAUACGUCAAAUGAAAGCUAACAGAAAAUUCUGCGAGUUCACAGAAGGCUUUAGUCCCAAAUUCGGAACCGAAAAUAGCAGAAACAACCUCAAACCAGCAUUACAGAACUGCCGGGAUUUUGGAAAGAUUAUUUCUGGUACAGCUUAUUUGAAAAAUCAUAACAAUUUGUAAAGUUAUCCAAAUUGCCCAAAUAAUACAUCAAAUGAAACCUUACAACUUAAUCUACAAGUUUCAUGAAGGCACAGAGCCCAAAUUAUGAUCCCAACAUAUCGAGAACAGUCCCGCAAGAAGAUACUAAAAACUGCCCUGUUUCCGGCAGAUUACUGUCAUCGGAUUCCGACCUCUAAAACACGUAUAUUAAAUACUCUAAUUCGAUACGAUUGAACACUUACUUACAGUUUACGAUGUCCUCUACGAGUUUCCUGAAGGAACCGAUUCCAAAUUCGCAUUCGAAACCCUUCGAUUUCGGCUCCGAAAACAGGUGCGGCAGCAGAUUUUGCUUCCCCAAAAUCGCAGCGAGCAAGCUGACUUCUCAGCAAACUCCGGGGACCGCCGCCCGUGCAAACCAUCAAGAACCACGACCAAUAGAGAGCCAAACUCAUUAGCUUUCUAACGAUGGAUCCUGAUCAACGAGGUUCAAUCUCAAACGCCCCUAAACAAUUAUUUCUUUGAAGGCCUAACCGCUGAAUUUCGAAUUGUAAGUGAACUUGUCUUCUUCGACCUAUUCCGACCACCACCACCGAUGUGAAGCUGAUCUUAUGGUUUAUACCAGUGCCACCGGAUUCUCGAAACUCUGUUCAUAAAACGUUGCAGCACUUUUGAAGAAUCAAUUUGGGCUUUCUUCUUUCACCGCUCAAUUCUUCAACCCAAACUUGAUUACAUCAAACCCUCACUUAGAAACUCAAUAUUUCCGAUCAAUUUAUUUGAUUCCAGCCAAGACUCCGAUAGAGAGAAUGGCGAAGAUAGAGAAUAAGUGAGCAAGAGAGAAAGAAUGAAGAGAAGAAGAUAGAGAGAAAGAGAGAGACGGUGAGAGAAGAGCUGGGGUGAAGAGAAGAAACGUGGCUGCCAAAGGAGGAUUGUGAAUUGACGAUAUACACGUCAAUUCCUAUCUCAACUAUAAGUUAUGAAAAUUGGCUAUAAGGCCAAAUAGUUUUCUUAAUUACCAAAUAGAUGCCAUAACUUUAGAUAAUUACAAUUUCUGCACUUCCCAUCAAAUUCGAAAUAUAUUAUAAUUCCAUAUCGACACAUAUCAACUAAAUAAAUUCAAUUAUCCCCAAACUUGAACAACUUACACAUUUACGGGGUGUUAC